Molecule: ribosomal RNA, 461 nt
Filed under: uncultured bacterium
Lineage: Bacteria
Description: bacterial SSU rRNA
Rfam family: Bacterial small subunit ribosomal RNA
Source: RNAcentral
AACGAACGCUGGCGGCAGGCUUAACACAUGCAAGUCGAACGGUCUCUUCGGAGGCAGUGGCAGACGGGUGAGUAACGCGUGGGAACAUACCUUUCGGUACGGAACAACAGUUGGAAACGACUGCUAAUACCGUAUACGCCCUGAGGGGAAAGAUUUAUCGCCGAGAGAUUGGCCCGCGUUGGAUUAGCUAGUUGGUGGGGUAAUGGCCUACCAAGGCGACGAUCCAUAGCUGGUCUGAGAGGAUGAUCAGCCACACUGGGACUGAGACACGGCCCAGACUCCUACGGGAGGCAGCAGUGGGGAAUAUUGGACAAUGGGCGCAAGCCUGAUCCAGCCAUGCCGCGUGAGUGAUGAAGGCCUUAGGGUUGUAAAGCUCUUUCGCCGGUGAAGAUAAAUGACGGUAACCGGUAAAGAAGCCCCGGCUAACUUCGUGCCAGCAGCCGCGGUAAUUCCACUAUCGA